This 1338-nucleotide long non-coding RNA is filed under the name Lynx pardinus (Iberian lynx). The record is from RNAcentral. Lineage: Eukaryota; Metazoa; Chordata; Mammalia; Carnivora; Felidae.
UGGGCCUCCGCGGGCGACGACGGAGCAGGGAUCGGUGCCUCUGGACUCGGGACUGGAGACGAGGGUGAGUGCCCGCUGGCGUGCCCGACACCCCACCGUCCCCCCGCCCGCCCACCGCCUCUGCCUGCGGCUCAGCUGGCACCCCCUCCCCUCGCCCGCAGCCAGGUCUCCAGAUCGGGUGACGUGCUGCUGGCCUCCGAAGGCCGGGCGCGAGGCUGCGCUCAGAGAGGCAUGACAUGGUCCGGUGCGACGGCGAGGACAGACGUGACGCCGCCCGGCCUUCCUGGUGAGCGCGGCUGUGAGGCUUGGCCCCCGCAGGCCGACCCACCCGCAGGGCGUCACCCCUGAGCGCUCUUGCUUCCCUAGACCAUUCUAGGCUGGCGCCGCGGGGACCCGGAACACCCAAGGGCUCGUUCCUCUGCGCUCCUGAAGGAGCCGACACAUGACUGCUGCUCUCUGGACCCCUAGAACCCUCAAAACGACAAGGUGAGGAGUCCCCGGCCAGCCGCGGGCAGCGGGCGCGGGCCAAGGAGCAGGGAACUCACCGUGUCCUGCCCCGCAGAAAUGGUGCUACCCAGCUCACGCCUGGGCCUUGGAACUGGGACUUCUUCAAGUCCCCUCUAGCUCUGACUCAAGAAUAUGCUGCAUUCUGGAACCACUACACUCCUUGACUCAGGAAUCGGCUCUGGAAGGUGAGUGCGGGCACCCUUCCGGAAGCUUCCGGGGCCGCCCUGCCCGGUCCCCGCUCACACGUCCUGUCGCUCUCUGCAGGUCAAGCUACAGGAACGAGACCAGCCCGACAGCAAGACCGUCGGAAGCGAGCAGCACCCGCGGCGGCCGCCACCCCGCCUGGCGCCUCCGUCUCCGUGGCCACCCUGCCGUGGACAGGCGACCACCAACCAGCCUCCACGCCCCCACGCCCCUCACCCUCCUUCUCUUCUUCCUUUCCUCUGUGCUUUCAUUUCCUUUCUUUCCUUUCCCCUUUGCUCGGGACUCAAAGCCACCGUGACUCCGUUUCCCCGUCCCUCCCGAAUUCAAUUUGCACUAAGUCGUUUGCACUGGUUUGGAGUUCUGGGUCUGGCCUCGAGUCCCCGAGCGCGUGUGCAAGCAAGAUGCUGAGUGCCCGCGCCGUGCCCAGCGCCCACCUGCCGUCCAUCUCUGCCUGGGGGUGCCUGGGUGCGUCCGAGUGUGUGGGGCCCCACCCUCCCCUUGCCUAGUCUGGGAGCUCCAAACACCGAGCAAACCUUGAAGCAUUCCGUUGUAGAGCAGCUCGCUCUGUGCCCCUCCCCGCCAGGGUUUCACCAGAAGCCCUGGACUCAUCAAUAAACUCAGUUACAG